Sycon ciliatum is the source of this 125-nucleotide small nuclear RNA. RefSeq annotates it as U11 spliceosomal RNA. The record is from RefSeq and is a predicted model, not a curated record. The transcript has a single exon. Lineage: Eukaryota; Metazoa; Porifera; Calcarea; Leucosolenida; Sycettidae.
CAAAAGGGUGUUUGCCGUCAGUGGCAGAGGGCACUCUGAUGCUCUUCGGAAUCGCCAUCAAGAGAUUUCGGACACAAAAUCUUUGGAGCACGGUGGCUGUUGGCUGUUGUUACGCUGACGCCCCA